GCAGGCGUAGUGUAAUGGCUAACACAGAAGCGUCGUAUCCUUCUUAUACGGGUUCAAUUCCUGUCGCCUGCU
This 72-nucleotide transfer RNA is filed under the name Moorena sp. SIO2B7. RNAcentral's name for it is "tRNA-Thr". It matches the Rfam family "tRNA". Rfam says of the family: Transfer RNA (tRNA) molecules are approximately 80 nucleotides in length. Lineage: Bacteria; Bacillati; Cyanobacteriota; Cyanophyceae; Coleofasciculales; Coleofasciculaceae. The record is from RNAcentral.